UACAGAGGUCCCGAGCGUUGUUCGGAUUCAUUGGGCGUAAAGGGUGCGUAGGCGGCGGGGCAAGUCUGAUGUGAAAUCCUGGGGCUCAACCUCAGAACUGCAUUGGAUACUGCCUUGCUAGAGUACUGGAGAGGGAACUGGAAUUUACGGUGUAGCAGUGAAAUGCGUAGAGAUCGUAAGGAAGGCCAGUGGCGAAGGCGGGUCUCUGGACAGUUCCUGACGCUGAGGCACGAAGGCCAGGGGAGCAAACGGG
This 253-nucleotide ribosomal RNA is filed under the name uncultured bacterium. RNAcentral's name for it is "partial 16S ribosomal RNA". It matches the Rfam family "Bacterial small subunit ribosomal RNA", at positions 524 to 776 of the family's 1533-position model. The record is from RNAcentral.